UGGUUUUGGGGCCCUACCU
RNAcentral lists this unclassified non-coding RNA (19 nucleotides) under Chlamydomonas reinhardtii. Its description in RNAcentral is "small RNA Cre_3508". The record is from RNAcentral. Lineage: Eukaryota; Viridiplantae; Chlorophyta; Chlorophyceae; Chlamydomonadales; Chlamydomonadaceae.